UCCGGUUUGUCACCGGCAGUCUCAUUAGAGUGCCCUUUCGUAGCAACUAAUGACAAGGGUUGCGCUCGUUGCGGGACUUAACCCAACAUCUCACGACACGAGCUGACGACAGCCAUGCAGCACCUGUGUGACGGCUCUCUUUCGAGCACCCCUAAAUCUCUUCAGGGUUCCGUCCAUGUCAAGGGUAGGUAAGGUUUUUCGCGUUGCAUCGAAUUAAUCCACAUCAUCCACCGCUUGUGCGGGUCCCCGUCAAUUCCUUUGAGUUUUAGCCUUGCGGCCGUACUCCCCAGGCGGGGUGCUUAAUGCGUUAGCUUCGGCACGGAAGGGGUCGAUAUCCCCCCACACCUAGCACCCAACGUUUACGGCGUGGACUAC
This 375-nucleotide unclassified non-coding RNA is filed under the name uncultured bacterium. RNAcentral describes it as "contains 16S-23S intergenic spacer region". The record is from RNAcentral.